AAUGAUUUUUAUUUUUUCCAUUAGAGUUGGUUUACAGUGUUCUGUCAAUUUUCCACUGUACUAAAAAAUUUUACAGAGUGCAAGAAGGCACAGAUAAAAAUACAAUGGACAAGUUCCUGUUGUAGCUAAGAGGGUUAAGAACAUGACAUUGUCUCUGUGAGGAUGCAGGUUUGAUCCCUGGCCUCCCUCUGUGGCUUAAGAAUCCAGCGUUGCCACAAGCUGUGGCAUAGGUUACAGAUGUAGCUUGGGUCUGGCAUUGCUGUGGCUGCAGCUACAGCUCCAAUUUGAUCUCUACCCUGGGAACUUGCAUAUGCUGCAUGUAGGGCUGUAAAAAGAAAAAAUAUAAAUAUACCGGAAAUAUUAGUAUCAACCAGGAGAGUCCCAGGCAAACUAGGAGAUGCAGUCAGGGAAGGGGAAAGUGGGUACUAUGCUUCAUCCUUACGGCAGCAAAUAUUAUUUCCAAAGCCAACUGAUUUCCAUUAGUCUAGGAUGGAUAACAAGUUGAUUAAUAUCUAUAGGUAUAAACCUUAAAAGAUAAGGAGUUAAAUUCAUAUUAACUGCAAAUGGAAAUACGUUGCUUAUUUAAAAUAACAUAAAACCUUCGCCUUAGCUAUUCUUCCAGUCAUCAGAACAAGUAUUUUACAAAUCAAUUUCUCCUCCUGCGCUAUUCCAGGAUCACAGACAAACACUGUGAAGCUCAGAUAGGAAUUAAACAAUUCAGUGACAGCAAUACAUAGUCUAAGCCAUGGAUCAAUCUACACAUAGUAUCACUGACCUUUGGUUUUCCCCUUCAAGUUAUUUUAUUUAUUUGUUUGUUUAUUUGCUUACUUAUUUAUUUAUUUUGUCUUUUUAGGGCUUCACCCAUGGCUAGGGUUUGAAUCGGAGCUGUAGCUGCUGGCCUAGGCUAGACACAGCAACACAGGAUCCUAGCCUCAUCUGUGACCUACACCACAGCCCACACCAAUGCCGGAUCCUUAACCCACUGAGCAAGACCAAGGAUUAAACCUGUAUCCUCAUGGAUACUAGUUGUGUUCCUUACCACUGAGCCACAAUGGGAACUCCCACCCUUCAGGUAACCUUAGAGUGUAUGGUUUGUUUGUUUGUUUGUUUUUUGUCUUUUUGCCUUUUCUGGGGCCGCUCCCACAGCAUACGGAGGUUCCCAGGCUAGGGGUCUAAUGGAAGCUACAGUUGCUAGCCUAGUCCAGAGCCACAGCAAUGCCAGAUCCAAGCUACAUUUGUGACCUACACUACAGCUCAUGGCAACGAUGGAUCCUUAACCUACUGAGCAGGGCCAGGGAUCAAACCCGCAAUUUCAUGGUUCCUAGCCGGAUUCGUUUCCCCUGCACCAUGAUGGAAACUCCUCUUCUAACAUUUUUAUAUUAUUAGCUCAUUUAAUACAUUGUAUUUCCAUUGUCACCUGCUAACCUAGGCUACUUUCCAUGUACAAUUUGGAAUCUCCUAGCCAACUGUUUCUCUGUGCAGCCUCUUUCCAGUCUAGUUCACCCUGCAUUCUGCCUUUGCAUGAAUUCUCUCAAACCACCAUUCUGAACACAUAACGUUUUUCUCAAACAAAAACAACAACCACCACAAAACUAUCCAUAGAAUAAAGUACAAAUUCUUUAGUUUAGAAGAUAAAGACAACAUUAGCUGGUCACUGGUUAUCUUUCUACUAACUGUGUGUUUCACAGGCACUUUCACAGUUUCAUAAGUAAUGCCCCAUAUAUCUCAACUCCAAAGCUGGAAAUUCAUGCUUCUGAAAAUGCCAUCACCUUAUUAUCUACCUAUCAAAAUGGUCUUUUUUCUUCUACAUCCUGCCACUGAACUCAUCUUUUAACUCAUGAAGCAUUUAUUUUGUAUACUAUAUGCCUCCCCAUUUUUAUUCAUUUAUUACUCAACUGCAUUAUGUCUCCAAAAGGAAUGUGUUAUAUUUUUAUAUGUGAUUCUCCAGAGUCUACCACAGGGACAAAUAAUAGGUGCUCAAUAAUUAUUUCGGAUAAUUAUAUAGCCUCACAGCAUGUGAACAUCCUACAAUGCUAAUUUCAUUCAACAUUCACUCAAGAGCUAAUUCUUCUGCCUAUGUUAUUUAUGUGGCACUUUUCUUGGCACUGGUAGACAAGAAAGAUAAGUUCCCUGCCUUCUGAAUCUUAUAUUUCAGUGUGAAGAAAGACAAGAAACUGGUUGAUGAUAUGAUAUAAUGUGCUUACAUAGAGUGAUGAAGAUCAUAAAGAAAACUGUAAGAUAGAAUGAGGGAGGGGAGGAGAUGAGGAGUCUAGUUUUAUCGAAGUGUUUGGGAAGAUUUUAUCUGAGGCCUUACCACUGAGCAGACACCAGAAGUGUACACAGCUUCAAUUAUGUAAAAUCAACUUGGGAGGGGGACCAUAAGCUUAAGGACUUUAAAAAGUCCCCGAGUUUAACAACUUAUUGGGAAAUAAACUAUAAUGGGAAUAUAGGAAGCCGGGAUCCAAAUGAGAAGUGAUUUACUAAAUGUAGGCAGAAAAUAAUGGUGGAAUUCAGACUAUCUACUGAAGAUUGAUGGAUGGCAUUAACUAUGAGUUUACAUAUUGGGAAACAGAGCUCUUCAGAGAAUAUCAUGUCAUGUAUCAGGGUCAGUAACAUAGGAAUUUGACUGAACUCCAUAUUCAACUAAAAGUCAACAAAAACUAUUGUAUUUAUUUCCCAAUUCCAACAGGUUAAACUUUGCUGGACAGAGCUAAAUCCCAGUAAAUUUGUAUUGUCCCUGUGUACUCUAGCAGCUAGCUUGGGACUGGGCAUAGACUAGUUCAACAAGUUCGCAAGUUUUGUUAUGCAUUCAAAUUGCCUGAGAUGCUUGUCAGAAUGCAGAGUCUGACUCAGGAGGUCUAGGGUGGCCUGGAUUUCUGCAUUUCUAACACAUUCUGAGAAUGCCAAUUUCAAUGUCUGAGUACCACAUUCAUUCGAUGAUGAUUGUUCAAUGGAUUGAUUGGCCAAUUGAUUGACUAAGCUAGGAAGAAAGGCUGACGAUCAGAAAUUUCAUUAAAUAGUACCCUAUUUGGAUCAAUUUGAGUUGAAAAUUAUUUGAUAUUUGCAAAUAAAUAUUUAAUAUAUAUUUAUUUUAGGGAAUUAAUGUGACUCAAUUAUGUAUAACAUGAUUCUGGUCAUCUUCUGGGUUAAGAGUGUUGGAGAAAAUAGAUGUUGAUGGUCCUUUUUGGUGUUAUUAUUCCUAUAAAGGUUGUUAGUAUUAUUCUGUAACUGUUUUUUUUUUUAGGUAACAGAAACUACAAGAUGAUGGUAAUGCUGCUGCUGUUGUUUUUCUAUCCUGUACCUGGGAAGCUUUUAUAAUAUACAUACAAUUGUAUCCUUCCCCUUGGCAAUAUUUUUAAUGUCCUGGAAUCUGGACUUAAAAGAAAAUUUUAUGUUUAGCU
Molecule: long non-coding RNA, 3401 nt
Filed under: Sus scrofa (pig)
Lineage: Eukaryota; Metazoa; Chordata; Mammalia; Artiodactyla; Suidae
Description: lncRNA (ENSSSCG00030029321.1)
Source: RNAcentral